Molecule: long non-coding RNA, 1919 nt
Filed under: Salmo salar (Atlantic salmon)
Lineage: Eukaryota; Metazoa; Chordata; Actinopteri; Salmoniformes; Salmonidae
Description: lncRNA (ENSSSAG00000083514.1)
Source: RNAcentral
UAUAGCAGUUAUACUACUAUAAUACUAACAUAAUAUACUUUUCUAGCAGAAGAGUGGUGGUAAUACUUUAUAGCAGUUAUACUACUAUAAUACUAACAUGUUAUACUAGUAUAGCAGUAAUACUACUAUAAUACUAACAUGAUAUACUGGUAUAGCAGGAGAGAUGAGGAGAGAAUCAUCAUAAAGAUACAUAUUAAUAUAUGUAUAUUCUUGUUAUAUUAUGUAUAUUCAGUUAUAUUACAAUAAUACAGAGGAGAGGUAGUUUAGCUGAGAAGAGAUGGGAAAGAUUAACACUGCAUCUAAUUCCUCUCUCUCUCUCGCUCUGUCUCUCAUCCCCCUCUCUCUACAGAUGGCGGACACCAUUGACAUCAACUUCCAGAGCGACUUGAUGGUCAUCUUUGAAGAGAACCUUUUCUGAGAGAGAGAUUGAGAAAGGAGGAGAGGGAGAGAAAGAGAUAUGAACUCUACCUUAUCCCACCAUGGCUGGGAUUUCACACACAACACCCUCCCUCCCUCUGAUUAGAGACCCCAGACCAGGAUGUGAGCUCCAGAGACUUGAAGGAGACUGAGAUGCGUUUUUUUGUGUCUAACUGCCCGUUUAUCGUUGAUGAUUGGUGGUUGCCGUGGGCAAUGGUGAAACCGGAUACCUAUGGAUAAACAGAUAUGUGAACUCCUCUUGUAUUCUGAAAUGAAACCGGAGGGAGGAGGGGAGGACUGAGAACUAUUACCUGAACAUAAAGAAUAAAAAGAGGGUUUAAUGGAGAAAGAAGAUGUGAACACCUUCUAACGUGCGAGAGGGAGGGCCGGGCGAACGAGAGGAUGGACAGACUUCUUUCUCUUUGAUUCAUUUCUCUCUUAAUCUAGAAUUUUUCUCUCCCUGUUUUUUGAUGUUGGGUUUUAUUAAGCGGGGUGGGUGAGGAGAUGGGGGAGGGAGAAGUGGGCCGGCUGUGUGUGUUACCAUGUUUACGUCCCAAAAGGGCACCCUAUUCCCUUCAUAUAGUGCACUACUUGUGUCCAGGGCCCAUGGGGAUCUGAUCAAAAGUGGUGCGCUAUAUAGGGAGUAGGGUGCCAUUUGGGACUUAUCCUCUGAGAUGGGUUCAGUUUCUCUCCGGACAGCAAGAUGAACACCGGGCUCACACCCCAGCACUAUAAAGAAGCACCCUUCCUUCCUUCCUUCCUUCCUUCUUACUCUCCUUGUCCUUUGUGACAUCACUGACUUGACACAACUUGAAAGUGUAAAAGCUUGAACUCCAUUUUUUCAGUCAUAUCUGAUUCAUUGAUUAUUUCAAGAAAGGAGGCAGAGAGGGAAGAAAGGAGGCAGAGAGGGAGGGAAGGAAGGAGGGAACGAGGGGAAAAAGAGGAAGGAUGAGGGAAAAGAGGAAGGAUGAGUGAAGAAAGGAGGCAGAGAGGGAAGGAAGGAGGGAACGAGGGGAAAAAGAGGAAGGAUGAGUGAAGAGAGGAGGGAGAGAGGGAAGGAAGGAGGGAACGAGGGUAAAAAGAGGAAGGAUGAGUGAAGAGAGGAGGGAGAGAGGGAAGGAAGGAGGGAACGAGGGGAAAAAGAGGAAGGAUGAGUGAAGAAAGGAGGGAAGGAAGGAGGGAAGGAAGAGAGGGAAGAAAGGAGGGAAGGAAGAGAGGGAAGAAAAGAGGGAAGGAAGAGAGGGAAGAAAAGAGGGAAGAAAGGAGGGAAGGAAGGAAGAGGGGGAGGGCGGGGUACAUUUUAAAGGUGUUGGAAUGUGGCUCUUGCCUUACAGCUCUGACCUGUAAAUGAACACACGCCACUGAUAUAUAUAUAUAUAAAUAAAUAAAUAAAUAUUAUAUACGAUGAAAAGUCCCUAAAAAUAAUUGGAUUAUGUUGUUGGGAGGGAGAACGGCUAAUCUGCCUUGUGCUCAAUUCCCUUUUGGUUUUUUAGAGAAUUGAC